GAUGAACGCUGGCGGCGUGCUUAACACAUGCAAGUCGAACGGUGAAGCAGGAGCUUGCUCUUGUGGAUCAGUGGCGAACGGGUGAGUAACACGUGAGCAACCUGCCCCUGACUCUGGGAUAAGCGCUGGAAACGGCGUCUAAUACUGGAUAUGUGAUGUGACCGCAUGGUCUGCAUCUGGAAAGAAUUUCGGUUGGGGAUGGGCUCGCGGCCUAUCAGCUUGUUGGUGAGGUAAUGGCUCACCAAGGCGUCGACGGGUAGCCGGCCUGAGAGGGUGACCGGCCACACUGGGACUGAGACACGGCCCAGACUCCUACGGGAGGCAGCAGUGGGGAAUAUUGAACAAUGGGCGGAAGGCUGAUGCAGCAACGCCGCGUGAGGGAUGACGGCCUUCGGGUUGUAAACCUCUUGUAGCAGGGAAGAAGCGAAAGUGACGGUACCUGCAGAAAAAGCACCGGCUAACUACGUGCCAGCCGCCGCCGUAA
RNAcentral lists this ribosomal RNA (484 nucleotides) under uncultured bacterium. RNAcentral describes it as "partial 16S ribosomal RNA". It matches the Rfam family "Bacterial small subunit ribosomal RNA", at positions 28 to 523 of the family's 1533-position model. The record is from RNAcentral.